Corvus hawaiiensis (hawaiian crow) is the source of this 1648-nucleotide long non-coding RNA. RefSeq lists it as uncharacterized. NCBI's taxonomy places the organism in Eukaryota, Metazoa, Chordata, Aves, Passeriformes, Corvidae. The record is from RefSeq and is a predicted model, not a curated record. The transcript has 3 exons.
UCUUGUGCAGAAAUAGGAGACUGUCCUGUCACACAUCCCAGGAACUGUGCACGAUGCCUGUCUAGUUUAACAUCCCAAAGACAACCACAUGUAAGGAAGAUGAUAUUGCACAUCCCUGAAUACUAUGAAGGACUGCAGUGAAGACCAAGACCCAAAUUACUGCUAACAAAUCUCCUCCAGGAAUGGCAGCCAGUGGUCAGAGGGAGGCGAAGCACCACUGACCUUGCCAGCACCUCUGCACAGAGUUGCACCAGUUGUAAAGCAUCACAGGGGAAAUGCCUGAGAUUUCCUCCAACAGACAGAAAAACAGACAAGUGCACUCUAUGAUUCAGAUUCCCAAGAGUCCAAUAUGUGGGCUCAGCUUGCAGUCACUUUGUCAGCACAGCUGCCAGCAUCAACUCCCUCUUCUUCCAUACAGUCCUGAAGCCCAUGGACCCUUCAUUCCUUCAGAACUGCUACUCUUCUGAAAACUUUAGCUGAAGAUUUCCAAGAGUUUGGAUGUCAUGAGGGUGGCCAAGAAGAAGGAUAAACAUAGGCAGAGACAGACACAAUGACCACCUCAACUUCCUCCCUAGGAAACCAAGCUAAAAGAGGAAACACAUUUUCAGAAUUAUGCGCUGAGCUUCUUUCUGUCAAGUGGGUGGGUCUUAGUUUUAAUGUAAAACACUAACUGAAUUAAACCUGCUUUGAUUAAAUACAGCUAAUUUUGAAACGUGUGUUGGAGCACUGCAGUGCUUCUGAAUGCAGAGUUUUUAAGACACUGACAAGAACGUACUGAAUUUUUUUUCCAAUCUAUUUCAAUUACACUUUUAUAAUGGCAGAAUAAUGGCAAGAUUAGUCUGUUUUAUCAUGAUUAAAUCUUGAUUAACAUAUUAAAUAACCAUUGUACACUAAUUAACUCUAUUAAAUACAAUGUCCAAUACAUUGUUCUACUUCUGUAGACUUCCAAUGAAAAAGUAACUAUCAUUAGUAUGGUUAUUUCUUAUACAGUGUUUUUAGGAUCUAACACGGAGUUUCACUAUGGACGAAAUACCUAAAGGUAUGAUUUUGAUAAGCUGUUUGGGAAGACUUUAUUUUGAAAGAAAUUUCCAGAUAAGUUACAAUAUGAACAGAGAAAAAUACAUUAUUUAAGAGAGCAUUUCCAAACAUGCCCUAUGCAAUCUGAACACUGAGGAUAUAAAAUUUAAAUCUAUACUCUUGUAAGGACAGCAUGAAGUUGAAUUUUAGAUAACUUUCCAGUUCAAUUAUGUGAAGUGGCAUUACAGUAUUUUACAGGAUGCACAAAUGAAAAGCCAUUACCAAGGAUUUGUCAUUAUUUCACAACUGUGAACAACUCUAGGCAAGGCUUUUAACCAGCAGUUAAAAACUCCCUUGUGUCUACGUCUUGCAGUAACUUUUUAUUCCACUGGAAACACUUUAAACAUCUAGUUUCCUCUGUCAAGAGCACUCACAGGAACUCAGACAUCUGCAGUCUGAUUUCCUUGUAUAACAAACAUCCUCUCAAAAUACAAAAUGAGAGCAGCCGUCACUGUAAGCCAACACAUUUAUGCCAGGUUUUCAGCCAACUCUUAAAUACAGUUCGGGGGUUUUGUGCACAAAAACAUAUGGAAUGAACUGACAUGAAUAAAAAAUAGAUUUUUAAAAUCUG